This 465-nucleotide ribosomal RNA is filed under the name uncultured bacterium. Its description in RNAcentral is "partial 16S ribosomal RNA". It matches the Rfam family "Bacterial small subunit ribosomal RNA", at positions 338 to 795 of the family's 1533-position model. The record is from RNAcentral.
ACUACGGGUGGCAGCAGUGGGGAAUAUUGCGCAAUGGGCGAAAGCCUGACGCAGCGACGCCGCGUGAGGGAUGAAGGUCUUCGGAUCGUAAACCUCUGUCAGCAGGGAAGAACGGUCACUGUGCUAAUCAGCAGUGAAUUGACGGUACCUGCAAAGGAAGCACCGGCUAACUCCGUGCGAGCAGCCGCGGUAAUACGGAGGGUGCGAGCGUUCAUCGGAAGUACUGGGCGUAAAGCGCUCGUAGGCGGUAUGUCAAGUCAAGGGUGGAAUCCCCGGGAGCAACGUGGGAACGGCCUUUGAAAAUGGCAAAAUGGAGUGUGUGAGAGGAUAGUGGAAUUCCAGGUGUAGGAGUGAAAUCCGUAGAUAUCUGGAGGAACAUCAGUGGCGAAGGCGACUAUCUGGCACAUAACUGACGCUGAGGAGCGAAAGCGUGGGUAGCAAACAGGAUUAGAUACCCUUGUAGUC